CAUUCGAGUUCGGGUAGAACCCA
Molecule: non-coding RNA, 23 nt
Filed under: Arabidopsis thaliana (thale cress)
Lineage: Eukaryota; Viridiplantae; Streptophyta; Magnoliopsida; Brassicales; Brassicaceae
Source: RNAcentral